UACGUAGGGUGCAAGCGUUGUCCGGAAUUAUUGGGCGUAAAGAGCUCGUAGGCGGUCUGUCGCGUCGGCUGUGAAAACCCAGGGCUCAACCCUGGGCCUGCAGUCGAUACGGGCAGACUAGAGUCCGGCAGGGGAGACUGGAAUUCCUGGUGUAGCGGUGAAAUGCGCAGAUAUCAGGAGGAACACCGGUGGCGAAGGCGGGUCUCUGGGCCGGAACUGACGCUGAGGCGCGAAAGCGUGGGUAGCAAACGGG
Molecule: ribosomal RNA, 253 nt
Filed under: uncultured bacterium
Lineage: Bacteria
Description: partial 16S ribosomal RNA
Rfam family: Bacterial small subunit ribosomal RNA
Source: RNAcentral